RNAcentral lists this ribosomal RNA (375 nucleotides) under uncultured bacterium. Its description in RNAcentral is "bacterial SSU rRNA". It matches the Rfam family "Bacterial small subunit ribosomal RNA", at positions 527 to 898 of the family's 1533-position model. The record is from RNAcentral.
GUAGGGGGCGAGCGUUGUCCGGAUUUACUGGGCGUAAAGCGCGCGUAGGCGGCUCGUUAAGUCGGGUGUGAAACCCCGGGGCUCAACCCCGGGACUGCAUCCGAUACUGGCGGGCUCGAGGCAGGUAGGGGAGAGUGGAAUUCCCGGUGUAGCGGUGAAAUGCGCAGAUAUCGGGAGGAACACCGGUGGCGAAGGCGGCUCUCUGGGCCUGUCCUGACGCUCAGGCGCGAAAGCUAGGGGAGCAAACAGGAUUAGAUACCCUGGUAGUCCUAGCUGUAAACGUUGGGUGCUAGGUGUGGGGCGGGGAUCGACCCGUUCCGUGCCGAAGCUAACGCAUUAAGCACCCCGCCUGGGGAGUACGGCCGCAAGGCUAAA